AUUCACAUAUGUACAUACCCGAAUUACUCUUCGAGAACCGGGUAUAAAAAAGGACCUUGGAAAAGGGGUGAGAAAGGUCGGAAUAGUUGGAGAGCUCUUUCGUUGGGAACGGCUAAGAUUUUUUUGGAGUAGUCAGCUGUUUUUAUAUAUACAAAAAUUGUUGUUAACUGCUUAACUGAUUUAAGUGUAAGAUGGCAUUGCAAUAUAUGUACAUACAUAUGCAUGUAUGUAUAUAUGUACAUACAUAUGCAUAGAGCAUUCUAGUCAUGUGGUCUCGAUAACUGAGUGCGAUGUUUUUCCCGAGGAACUGGAGCAUAGGGGUCCUACCGAUUCGGUGGAUUAUUGAAUUAUGUAAUCUUACAAUAUAAUGUAUAUUGUGUGUAUUGGGUAAUAUAUAAUUUGAUUUGAA
This is a long non-coding RNA of Drosophila guanche, 409 nucleotides long. RefSeq lists it as uncharacterized. NCBI's taxonomy places the organism in Eukaryota, Metazoa, Arthropoda, Insecta, Diptera, Drosophilidae. The record is from RefSeq and is a predicted model, not a curated record. The transcript is spliced from 2 exons.